UGCAUUCACUUCUUUAAGUCGCUCUGGAUAAGAGUGUCUGCUAAAUGACAAAAA
This is a non-coding RNA of Salmo salar (Atlantic salmon), 54 nucleotides long. NCBI's taxonomy places the organism in Eukaryota, Metazoa, Chordata, Actinopteri, Salmoniformes, Salmonidae. The record is from Rfam.